GAACCAGUACCGUGAGGGAAAGGUGAAAAGCACCCCGGAAGGGGAGUGAAAUAGAACCUGAAACCGUGUGCUUACAAGUAGUCAGAGCCCGUUAAUGGGUGAUGGCGUGCCUUUUGUAGAAUGAACCGGCGAGUUACGAUUUGAUGCAAGGUUAAGCAGUAAAUGUGGAGCCGUAGCGAAAGCGAGUCUGAAUAGGGCGUUUAGUAUUUGGUCGUAGACCCGAAACCAGGUGAUCUACCCUUGGUCAGGUUGAAGUUCAGGUAACACUGAAUGGAGGACCGAACCGACUUACGUUGAAAAGUGAGCGGAUGAACUGAGGGUAGCGGAGAAAUUCCAAUCGAACCUGGAGAUAGCUGGUUCUCUCCGAAAUAGCUUUAGGGCUAGCCUCAAGUGAUGAUUAUUGGAGGUAGAGCACUGUUUGGACGAGGGGCCCCUCUCGGGUUACCGAAUUCAGACAAACUCCGAAUGCCAAUUAAUUUAACUUGGGAGUCAGAACAUGGGUGAUAAGGUCCGUGUUCGAAAGGGAAACAGCCCAGACCACCAGCUAAGGUCCCAAAAUAUAUGUUAAGUGGAAAAGGAUGUGGCGUUGCCCAGACAACUAGGAUGUUGGCUUAGAAGCAGCCAUCAUUUAAAGAGUGCGUAAUAGCUCACUAGUCGAGUGACACUGCGCCGAAAAUGUACCGGGGCUAAACAUAUUACCGAAGCUGUGGAUUGUCCUUUGGACAAUGGUAGGAGAGCGUUCUAAGGGCGUUGAAGCAUGAUCGUAAGGACAUGUGGAGCGCUUAGAAGUGAGAAUGCCGGUGUGAGUAGCGAAAGACGGGUGAGAAUCCCGUCCACCGAUUGACUAAGGUUUCCAGAGGAAGGCUCGUCCGCUCUGGGUUAGUCGGGUCCUAAGCUGAGGCCGACAGGCGUAGGCGAUGGAUAACAGGUUGAUAUUCCUGUACCACCUAUAAUCGUUUUAAUCGAUGGGGGGACGCAGUAGGAUAGGCGAAGCGUGCGAUUGGAUUGCACGUCUAAGCAGUAAGGCUGAGUAUUAGGCAAAUCCGGUACUCAUUAAGGCUGAGCUGUGAUGGGGAGAAGACAUUGUGUCUUCGAGUCGUUGAUUUCACACUGCCGAGAAAAGCCUCUAGAUAGAAAAUAGGUGCCCGUACCGCAAACCGACACAGGUAGUCAAGAUGAGAAUUCUAAGGUGAGCGAGCGAACUCUCGUUAAGGAACUCGGCAAAAUGACCCCGUAACUUCGGGAGAAGGGGUGCUCUUUAGGGUUAACGCCCAGAAGAGCCGCAGUGAAUAGGCCCAAGCGACUGUUUAUCAAAAACACAGGUCUCUGCUAAACCGUAAGGUGAUGUAUAGGGGCUGACGCCUGCCCGGUGCUGGAAGGUUAAGAGGAGUGGUUAGCUUCUGCGAAGCUACGAAUCGAAGCCCCAGUAAACGGCGGCCGUAACUAUAACGGUCCUAAGGUAGCGAAAUUCCUUGUCGGGUAAGUUCCGACCCGCACGAAAGGCGUAACGAUUUGGGCACUGUCUCAACGAGAGACUCGGUGAAAUCAUAGUACCUGUGAAGAUGCAGGUUACCCGCGACAGGACGGAAAGACCCCGUGGAGCUUUACUGUAGCCUGAUAUUGAAAUUCGGCACAGCUUGUACAGGAUAGGUCUGUCUCUUAUACACAUCU
RNAcentral lists this ribosomal RNA (1671 nucleotides) under Staphylococcus aureus. RNAcentral describes it as "partial 23S ribosomal RNA". It matches the Rfam family "Bacterial large subunit ribosomal RNA", at positions 492 to 2167 of the family's 2925-position model. The record is from RNAcentral. Lineage: Bacteria; Bacillati; Bacillota; Bacilli; Caryophanales; Staphylococcaceae.